This is a long non-coding RNA of Piliocolobus tephrosceles (Ugandan red Colobus), 614 nucleotides long. RefSeq lists it as uncharacterized. The record is from RefSeq and is a predicted model, not a curated record. Lineage: Eukaryota; Metazoa; Chordata; Mammalia; Primates; Cercopithecidae. The transcript is spliced from 3 exons.
CUGGAGGGAUGGUGAAGGGGCCGGUGGGGCUGGGGCAGAGUGAAUGGGGAAGGGGGAUGGAGAGGAGAUGAGGUCUAAGAGAACUUGGGUUGUGCAGGGACCCCUAGGUCACUUCAAAGACGCUGGCCUGAAUGAGAUGUGUUGCUAAUGGGCGGUUUUGGUGUAGGCCAGAUCUCCAAUUUUGUUUUGAAAGGAUUAUUCAAGCUGCUGUGAUGAGAAAGGGCUGGAGGAGGAGCAAGCCCAGUGAGGAGGCAACUGGGAUUACACAGUUUCCAUGGCGACAUUGGGAGCCACAUGUUGAAGAUAGGGGAGCCACAAGAUGGAAGCAGUCUAGACCUCUCAAUCACCCCUUGGAGAAGGGACACCUGCUAAUCAGAACCCUGCAUUAGGCUUCACAUGAGUGAGAAAUAAAUCUCGGUUGUGUUUGGAGCUCAGUAUUUAAUCAUCUGCUGAAAAGACUAAGACAGCAAGAGUGGGCUUUGGCUUGGCAGCCUGGAACAGCUGUCCCUGGUGGGCAGAGCACAUCUAGAAUCAGGGGACAAAUAGCAGGUCCCCUCCCUUGAAGCCCCAGCCACACUGGAGAGAUGAGACUUCCUUAAUGUGCGGACAGAUUC